AGUUAAUGAUCUUGUUAAGUUUAUAUUUUGAAAAUAUAAAAAAGAAAUUAAAAUUUUCUAUUAACUU
RNAcentral lists this transfer RNA (67 nucleotides) under Acropyga myops. RNAcentral describes it as "tRNA-Ser". The record is from RNAcentral. Lineage: Eukaryota; Metazoa; Arthropoda; Insecta; Hymenoptera; Formicidae.